This 446-nucleotide long non-coding RNA is filed under the name Phoenix dactylifera (date palm). RNAcentral's name for it is "long non-coding RNA (PDAC_LNC020724)". Lineage: Eukaryota; Viridiplantae; Streptophyta; Magnoliopsida; Arecales; Arecaceae. The record is from RNAcentral.
AAACAUUAUUUUGAGGAUGUUGAUGGAUUCUCUAGUCUACCGGAGAAUAUUUUUUAAUUGAAAUUAACUAAAAGAUAGGUUUUCUAAUUCGAAAAGCAUUUAUAUGUUUAACUAAUCAAAGAAAAGCUUUGGCAUAAAUUAAAAUGGAUGAAAACAAGAAGAUUGAAGUGAACACAAAUUGCAUAAAGGAAGAUUUAAUGUAUUGCAUAAAAAAAAUAAAAGAUUUUCUAAAAAGAAAACAGAAAUUAACUUCAACCUAGAACAGGGAUUGCAUGAAAGAAAAUUGCUAGAUUUCAUAAAAAGAAAAUUGAUUACAAAUAAAAAUGGAGAUUGGAAGCCUAAUGUUUCUUCUCUUUUGCAAAUAACAUAAAGAAAACAAAACAAGAAGCUUCUCUCUCCUGGUGGAACCCCUAAAACAAAUAAAAUAAUAUUUUUUUCUUCUUCUU